This 835-nucleotide ribosomal RNA is filed under the name marine metagenome. RNAcentral describes it as "bacterial SSU rRNA". It matches the Rfam family "Bacterial small subunit ribosomal RNA", at positions 8 to 891 of the family's 1533-position model. The record is from RNAcentral.
AGAGUUUGAUCAUGGCUCAGAACGUACGCUGGCGGCACGCCUAACACAUGCAAGUCGAACGAAGUAGCAAUACUUAGUGGCAGACGGGUGAGUAACAUGUGGGUAUCUACCCUUUGGCCAGGAAUAACACGAGGAAACUUGUGCUAAUACCUGAUAAGUCUUUACGGAGAAAGCUUUAUGCACCAUUGGAUGAGCCUGCACUUGAUUAGUUAGUUGGUGGGGUAAAGGCCUACCAAGACUUUGAUCAAUAGCUGAUUUGAGAGGAUGAUCAGCCACAUUGGGACUGAGACACGGCCCAAACUCCUACGGGAGGCAGCAGUGGGGAAUCUUGCACAAUGGAGGAAACUCUGAUGCAGCGAUGCCGCGUGAGUGAAGAAGGCCUUUGGGUUGUAAAGCUCUUUCGUCGGGGAAGAAAAUGACUGUACCCGAAUAAGAAGGUCCGGCUAACUUCGUGCCAGCAGCCGCGGUAAUACGAAGGGACCUAGCGUAGUUCGGAAUUACUGGGCUUAAAGAGUUCGUAGGUGGUUGAAAAAGUUGGUGGUGAAAUCCCAGAGCUUAACUCUGGAACUGCCAUCAAAACUUUUCAGCUAGAGUUUGAUAGAGGAAAGCAGAAUUUCUAGUGUAGAGGUGAAAUUCGUAGAUAUUAGAAAGAAUACCAAUUGCGAAGGCAGCUUUCUGGAUCAUUACUGACACUGAGGAACGAAAGCAUGGGUAGCGAAGAGGAUUAGAUACCCUCGUAGUCCAUGCCGUAAACGAUGUGUGUUAGACGUUGGAAAUUUAUUUUCAGUGUCGCAGCGAAAGCGAUAAACACACCGCCUGGGGAGUACGACCGCAA